RNAcentral lists this ribosomal RNA (264 nucleotides) under uncultured bacterium. RNAcentral describes it as "partial small subunit ribosomal RNA". It matches the Rfam family "Bacterial small subunit ribosomal RNA", at positions 26 to 288 of the family's 1533-position model. The record is from RNAcentral.
AGAGCGAACGCUGGCGGCGUGCUUAACACAUGCAAGUCGAGUGCGCGCCUGUAGCAAUACAGGUGGCGCACGGCGCACGGGUGCGUAACACGUGGGUAAUCUGCCCUUCGAAGGGGAAUAACUCGCCGAAAGGCGAGCUAAUUCCGCAUAACAUUCCGAGAACUUCCGUUUUCGGAUUCAAAGGCGUAAGUCGUCGGAGGAGGAGCCCGCGCACGAUUAGCUAGUUGGUGAGGUAAUGGCUCACCAAGGCUAUGAUCGUUAGCU